AGAGUUUGAUCMUGGCUCAGGAUUAACGUUGGUAGUAUGCCUAACACAUGCAAGUCGAGCGGAAAGUAGUAGCAAUAUUGCUUUGAGCGGCGAACGGGUGAGUAAUGCUUAUCUAACUUGCCAAUUAGUGGGGGACAACUAUGGGAAACCAUAGCUAAUACCGCAUUUGUUACUUCGGUAAUGAAAGAGAGUCGCAAGAUUCUCGCUAAUUGAUAGGGAUAAGUCGUAUUAGUUAGUUGGUGGGGUAAUGGCCUACCAAGACAAUGAUGCGUAGCCAGUCUGAGAGGAUGAAUGGCCACAAGGGAACUGAGACACGGUCCCUACUCCUACGGGAGGCAGCAGUGAGGAAUUUUCGGCAAUGGGGGCAACCUUGACCGAGCAAUACUACGUGAAGGAGGAAGGUCUACGGAUUGUAAACUUCUGUUAGCAGGGAAGAAGGGCUGGAUGUGAGUUCAGUUUUGACGGUACCUGCAGAGAAAGCCACGACUAACUACGUGCCAGCAGUCGCGGUAAGACGUAGGUGGCGAACGUUAUCCGGAAUUAUUGGGCGUAAAGGGUGCGUAGAUGGUCUAAUAAGUUAUCAGCGGUAAAUCGGGGCUCAACCCCGUGGAAGUCGGUAAUACUGUUAUACUCGAGUGCAGAAGAGGNUUAACGGAACUCCAUGUGGAGCGGUAAAAUGCGUAGAUAUAUGGAAGAACACCAAUAACGGCGAAAGCAGUUAACUAUUCUGUUACUGACAUUGAGGCACGAAAAGCGUGGGGAGCAAAACGGAUUAGAUACCCGUGUAGUCCACGCCCUAAACGAUGAGUGCUAGAUAUUGGGAACUUGAUUCUCAGUGUCGCUAGUUAACACGGUAAGCACUCCGCCUGGGUAGUACGGUCGCAAGGCUGAAACUCAAAGGAAUUGACGGGGACUCGCACAAGCAGUGGAGCAUGUGGUUUAAUCCGAUACAACGCGUAGAACCUUACCAAGGCUUGACAUGACCGGCAAAGUUGCUGAAAGGCAAUUGAGGUUAUCCGGUCACAGGUGCUGCAUGGCCGUCGUCAGUUCGUGCCGUGAGGUGUAUGGUUAAGUCCUGUAACGAACGCAACCCUUGGGCUUAGUUGCCAGCAUUAAGUUGGGGACUCUAAGCCGACUGCCCGAGUAAUCGGGAGGAAGGAAAGGAUGACGUCUGGUCCGUCAUGGCCCUUAUGCCUUGGGCGACACACGUGCUACAAUGGCUAAGACAAAGGGAUGCCAACCCGCGAGGGGGAGCAAAUCUCAAAAAAUUAGCCUCAGUUCGGAUUGGAGGCUGCAACUCGCCUCCAUGAAGUUGGAAUUGCUAGUAAUCGCAAAUCAGCCAUGUUGCGGUGAAUACGUUCUCGAGUCUUGUACACACCGCCCGUCAAAUCACGAAAGUCGGUAAUGCUUGAAACCAACUAACUAACCCGCCAGGGAGGUAGUUGACAAGGGUAGGAUUGGCAAUUGGGGUUAAGUCGUAACAAGGUAGCCGUAG
Molecule: ribosomal RNA, 1495 nt
Filed under: uncultured bacterium
Lineage: Bacteria
Description: 16S ribosomal RNA
Rfam family: Bacterial small subunit ribosomal RNA
Source: RNAcentral